This 1018-nucleotide long non-coding RNA is filed under the name Anas platyrhynchos platyrhynchos (common mallard). RNAcentral describes it as "lncRNA (ENSAPLG00000025491.1)". The record is from RNAcentral. Lineage: Eukaryota; Metazoa; Chordata; Aves; Anseriformes; Anatidae.
CAAGGAUUUCCUAUGGAAGUAAAACAUAUUCAAGCAUGCAAAAGCUGUGAAACCCCUCCUUAACAGGAUCCUCUUAUGUUUUCAUUUUCUCUAAAACUUCUCAAAUAUGCUGGAAGUGCUGCAUCACUAGCAUGAAAUACAAAUGAUUGUGGCAAGAACUCCAUGAAUUUAAUGAAAUGCAGAAUGUUAGGAUGAAUUCUGAGAAGUGUUUUCAUUAAUAGAGUCAGAUGAUUAUUCAGUGUUAAGAUGGCAGAACGGGUGCAUUGUAAAACAUAAAAUACAGUGGAUGACAUUUCAUCUGUACAAUUGACUCAAGCAAAGUUCUCACUUGUAUCUGUUAUGCUACGUGGGAGUUUUAGCUCCAUGUUGCAAGAGGUAAAUUCUUCACUGGAGACAGAAAAACAUACAAUUCAACCACUGAACUUUACAGGUGAUUUAUCAGUUGGUUACACAGGAACUGUCUGUUCAAAAAAGAAGCCUGAGAAGCGCAGAUACUCACAUGGAAGCUCUUCAGGAAGUGCAUCUGAGAGAUACAAUCAAGGAAGACACUUGCAUAUACUUCAUAGAUAAAGACACAGCAUUCCUACUGAAUGCAAAAGAAUAUGUAUACUUAUGGAAGAAUAGACGAAAGUCAUGAACUCUGGAUUUCCGAUUUUGUUGACUUUGAACAAGCCAGUGAAAGAAUAAGGUUCAGAGAGGGCACAAGAAGUUUCACUGUGUCCCUUUCCAAACAAACAACAACAACAACAACAACAACAAAACAGUUUGAAAUCAACUUCAAGUGGACAACAACAUCUGAGUUGUUAAUAUCACCUUCUUCAAACCAGCUCCUCCUGGGCUCUAAGCAGAUACUUCUUUCUUUUCACCCAAAUCUUAGCACCUUAUCCAAUGCCUUUAUUUCUCCAUUCCCUUAUAUUGAAAUAUUUAAAUGUUACAGCUUGGUUUUGAAAAUAUUUAUUUCUUACUGCAUUUGGAAACAAUCUUAUUCUGAAUGCUAUUAAAAAUACUUAAACAGAAA